CCAUUCUUUGAGUUGGCCAAUAGCAAUAGUACAACAAUGAUAUAAUAAGUAGUACAUCUAAAAUUUCCUAGUACAUACAUGUACUGCAAACUUGCAAAGUACAAACUAAUCCCCCUUUAUGCGAUUACAUAUAGAAUCAAACGGGAUCAUACAUUCAUUCAUUCAACAUAAUGCAUUUUAUGCAAAAUUUAACAACCCAAAUUUUACAAGAGUUUGAGAAGCUGCUGAAUACUAAGGGUGUUGACAAGCACGAGACAAAAGUGGUCGUUGCAGACAAAAUUGCCGUUGUGAUACCCUUAUGGAGAUCUCUAAGCUUAAUUUACAGCUUAUAGCAUAAGCGCUUAUCAUGAUAAUAAACUUGUAUAAGCUAUUUCUAUAACAAAAGAUAACAUAAAGUUAAAUUAUUUUUGUAUAAGCUAUAAGUUGUUUACAUAAACUAUUGAGAAGAGUUUAUGAAAAAUAAGCUCAAAACAACUUAUGAAUAUGUUAUAAGUUGUUUUCAUAAGUUAGUCCAAACAGUCUCACAAGUACAUAAACUGUUUUCAUAAGUUAGUCCAAACAGUAUCACAUGUGUUCAUGUCAGUAUAUAAACUCAAAUAUGUUGAUUCAAAUAGGCCCUAAAACAGUUAUAUUACAGUUGCAAUUACAUUUGCAGACAAUAA
Molecule: long non-coding RNA, 662 nt
Organism: Medicago truncatula (barrel medic)
Lineage: Eukaryota; Viridiplantae; Streptophyta; Magnoliopsida; Fabales; Fabaceae
Exons: 2
Source: RefSeq, a predicted model, not a curated record